RNAcentral lists this ribosomal RNA (542 nucleotides) under Aspergillus nidulans. RNAcentral's name for it is "eukaryotic LSU rRNA". The stretch from base 173 to 326 matches the Rfam family "5.8S ribosomal RNA". Lineage: Eukaryota; Fungi; Ascomycota; Eurotiomycetes; Eurotiales; Aspergillaceae. The record is from RNAcentral.
CCUGCGGAAGGAUCAUUACCGAGUGCGGGCUGCCUCCGGGCGCCCAACCUCCCACCCGUGACUACCUAACACUGUUGCUUCGGCGGGGAGCCCCCCAGGGGCGAGCCGCCGGGGACCACCGAACUUCAUGCCUGAGAGUGAUGCAGUCUGAGCCUGAAUACAAAUCAGUCAAAACUUUCAACAAUGGAUCUCUUGGUUCCGGCAUCGAUGAAGAACGCAGCGAACUGCGAUAAGUAAUGUGAAUUGCAGAAUUCAGUGAAUCAUCGAGUCUUUGAACGCACAUUGCGCCCCCUGGCAUUCCGGGGGGCAUGCCUGUCCGAGCGUCAUUGCUGCCCUCAAGCCCGGCUUGUGUGUUGGGUCGUCGUCCUCCCCCGGGGGACGGGCCCGAAAGGCAGCGGCGGCACCGUGUCCGGUCCUCGAGCGUAUGGGGCUUUGUCACCCGCUCGAUUAGGGCCGGCUCGGGCGCCAGCCGGCGUCUUCCAACUUUAUUUUUCUCAGGUUGACCUCGGAUCAGGUAGGGAUACCCGCUGAACUUAAGCAUA